AGAGUUUGAUCCUGGCUCAGAUUGAACGCUGGCGGCAUGCUUUACACAUGCAAGUCGAACGGCAGCGCGGGCUUCGGCCUGGCGGCGAGUGGCGAACGGGUGAGUAAUGCAUCGGAACGUGCCCAGUAGUGGGGGAUAGCCCGGCGAAAGCCGGAUUAAUACCGCAUACGACCUGAGGGUGAAAGCGGGGGACCGAAAGGCCUCGCGCUAUUGGAGCGGCCGAUGUCGGAUUAGCUAGUUGGUGGGGUAAAGGCUUACCAAGGCGACGAUCCGUAGCUGGUCUGAGAGGACGACCAGCCACACUGGGACUGAGACACGGCCCAGACUCCUACGGGAGGCAGCAGUGGGGAAUUUUGGACAAUGGGGGCAACCCUGAUCCAGCCAUGCCGCGUGCGGGAAGAAGGCCUUCGGGUUGUAAACCGCUUUUGUUCGGGAAGAAAUCCUCUGGGCUAAUACCCCGGGGGGAUGACGGUACCGGAAGAAUAAGCACCGGCUAACUACGUG
RNAcentral lists this ribosomal RNA (504 nucleotides) under uncultured Caldimonas sp. RNAcentral's name for it is "bacterial SSU rRNA". It matches the Rfam family "Bacterial small subunit ribosomal RNA", at positions 8 to 507 of the family's 1533-position model. The record is from RNAcentral. Lineage: Bacteria; Pseudomonadati; Pseudomonadota; Betaproteobacteria; Burkholderiales; Sphaerotilaceae.